AGGAGACCCAGGCACAGAGGGUAGACAGCUCUGAUCCUCUGCCCGGCCCCCCCUGCUCUGGGCUCGACUCGCUAGCCUGUCUGUCUGGAGCUCUGGCUCCCAUCCUCCGCCGCCCCUCUGUUCAUUACCUUUUCUUUCUUCCACCUCGACACCCCCACCUUCAUGGCCGCCCUCCUCUCUGCUCCCCUCUACUGGCUCAUCUCCCGCCCCCUUCACUCUUCCUCCCGCUCACCACCACCCUCCUCCUCCUCCUCCUCCUCGCCUCCCGAGUCAGACUCUGCUCUGAAUUUUUCAUUAGAUGCCACCUGCUGCCUGACAGAGCCAAAGGACGCCGCCGCCAGAGGGCCCGGCUCCCGACAUAAAGAGAGGAAUAGAAGCAGAGAAAGAGCCAGAAUAAAGAUGCGUGGAGACAAUAAACCUGCCACUGUGAGAUCAGCUGGAGCUUUUCUCCUGCUUUUUUUUUUUUUUUUUACAAAAGGCAAAAUUGUUCAAGAGUUAAUUGCUUUCAAUUACUGUAAUUGCUUUCUGUAAUUUGGCAUUCUCUGUGAAGCAUUUAGCUGAAACUUUUAAUUUUUUUUUAGAAAUGCUUUUAUCCAAAAAAUGAAAUACGUCUCCGUGUUAUUCAAAGAAACGAUUUGGAACUAUUUGGUUAGCACAGUUAGCUCUGCCAGCCACGCCGCCGUCGCCUGAACCGUUCGCUAACCGUUAGCACCAUUAGCUCUGAGCCUUCGCCUAGACGUCGCCAUGUUGAGAGCCGCGUGCUCUGUUAAAAAUCCCCCCCCCGUCUCCCACCUCACGCUGCCCACCGGGUUGCUCCAGUAGGCGGGAACCUGCUCCUCUUUGACCCCGCUAAUGUUAGCGACGCAGCGGUCUCUGUUGACCCCGCUAAUGUUAGCGACGCAGCGGUCUCUGUUGACCCCGCUAAUGUUAGCGACGCAGCGGUCUCUGUUGACCCCGCUAAUGUUAGCGACGCAGCGGUCUCUGUUGACCCCGCUAAUGUUAGCGACGCAGCGGUCUCUCCCCACGGGCGAAACCAAUGAGGAAACGGACAAAAGGGAAAAAGCGCCGUCGCUGGCUGUGGAAAACAAACAGGCGCAGCGUAAUUGCCGUUCACUCCCACGCGGCCGAAUGCAGAGAGAAACUAGACAUUAUCUCCUGUUGGAUGAAAGAGGCCCCAGCUGGCUAAUAAAUGAUGAUGAAACGAUGAAGGUAAGAAGGCGAACUGGCAUAAUUCCAGUAUGGAAACCUGUACGUAGACACGAGUCUGACGGAAGCGAACCACGUCGCACCACGUCCCCCCCUUUCUUCAUCCGCGCUGCAAUGGAUCCGAUGAAGACUUUUACCAAAUAAGAUACAAACUGUAGUCUGACCGCCAAUCAGCUGUCUGGCUCGUAAAAUAGAGAAGUGCCUGAUAUUAUAUCAUCAUCACCAUGUUUUACACAGAGGGCACACCGCGUCAUGUGUUUGACGAUGGCACGAACUUCAGUGUGUUUUUAAGCAUCUUUUAUAUCAGAUUGUUAUUUUAUUUUUGGGGCGCUCCUUUAAGAACCCCUUUUGUAGUUUACGAGCGGCUAUCAAUGCUUUUGUACCCCGUGCCAUGAUGUGUUUUAAAGUAUAUAAAAAGAAACGGAAGCUGAUGUGCAAUUGUUUUUGUUUUUGUUUUCCAUUUCACGUGAUAUCUAAAGAAAUGUAUGCAGCCACUUUUCCUGUACAUAUCAUUUAGAAUAAAACGGAAGGCUGCUUCCUGUUUACAUCCUCUGCCUGCUUCUGCCUUUUCUUCCCGCGGAGCCGCGAUCAGACGAGUCCUUAAUGAAGCAGCGGGGGACUCGUCAAACGUCAAACCUGUCAGCUCCGCCUGCUGACGUCUUCUUCCGAGGCCGCCGGAGAGGAUGGAGAGCGCGCUGAUGACACCA
Gasterosteus aculeatus aculeatus (three-spined stickleback) is the source of this 1913-nucleotide long non-coding RNA. The record is from Ensembl. NCBI's taxonomy places the organism in Eukaryota, Metazoa, Chordata, Actinopteri, Perciformes, Gasterosteidae.